Molecule: ribosomal RNA, 253 nt
Filed under: uncultured bacterium
Lineage: Bacteria
Description: partial 16S ribosomal RNA
Rfam family: Bacterial small subunit ribosomal RNA
Source: RNAcentral
UACAGAGGGUGCGAGCGUUAAUCGGAAUUACUGGGCGUAAAGCGCGUGUAGGCGGGUCGGCAAGUCGGGCGUGAAAUCCCCAGGCUCAACCUGGGAACUGCACUCGAAACUUCCGAUCUAGAGUGGUGGAGAGGGAAGUGGAAUUCCUGGUGUAGAGGUGAAAUUCGUAGAUAUCAGGAGGAACACCAGUGGCGAAGGCGGCUUCCUGGACACCAACUGACGCUGAGACGCGAAAGCGUGGGGAGCAAACAGG